RNAcentral lists this ribosomal RNA (253 nucleotides) under uncultured bacterium. Its description in RNAcentral is "partial 16S ribosomal RNA". It matches the Rfam family "Bacterial small subunit ribosomal RNA", at positions 524 to 776 of the family's 1533-position model. The record is from RNAcentral.
UACAGAGGUCUCAACCGUUGUUCGGAUUCAUUGGGCGUAAAGAGCUCGUAGGCGGUUCGUCGCGUCGGCUGUGAAAACCUGAGGCUCAACCUCAGGCCUGCAGUCGAUACGGGCGGACUUGAGUACUGCAGGGGAGACUGGAAUUCCUGGUGUAGCGGUGAAAUGCGCAGAUAUCAGGAGGAACACCGGUGGCGAAGGCGGGGCUCUGGGCCGUAACUGACGCUGAGGAGCGAAAGCGUGGGGAGCGAACAGG